Molecule: transfer RNA, 75 nt
Filed under: Thermoproteota archaeon
Lineage: Archaea; Thermoproteati; Thermoproteota
Description: Crenarchaeota archaeon (hot springs metagenome) tRNA-Asn
Rfam family: tRNA
About the family: Transfer RNA (tRNA) molecules are approximately 80 nucleotides in length. Their secondary structure includes four short double-helical elements and three loops (D, anti-codon, and T loops). Further hydrogen bonds mediate the characteristic L-shaped molecular structure. tRNAs have two regions of fundamental functional importance: the anti-codon, which is responsible for specific mRNA codon recognition, and the 3' end, to which the tRNAs corresponding amino acid is attached (by aminoacyl-tRNA synthetases). tRNAs cope with the degeneracy of the genetic code in two manners: having more than one tRNA (with a specific anti-codon) for a particular amino acid; and 'wobble' base-pairing, i.e. permitting non-standard base-pairing at the 3rd anti-codon position.
Source: RNAcentral
GCCGCCUUAGCUCAGCCCGGUUAGAGCACUCGGCUGUUAACCGAGGGGUCGCCGGUUCAAAUCCGGCAGGCGGCG